This 254-nucleotide ribosomal RNA is filed under the name uncultured bacterium. RNAcentral describes it as "partial 16S ribosomal RNA". It matches the Rfam family "Bacterial small subunit ribosomal RNA", at positions 524 to 776 of the family's 1533-position model. The record is from RNAcentral.
UACGUAGGGUGCGAGCGUUGUCCGGAAUUAUUGGGCGUAAAGAGCUCGUAGGCGGUCUGUCGCGUCGGUCGUGAAAACCUGCAGCUUAACUGUGGGCUUGCGGUCGAUACGGGCAUGACUGGAGUUCGGCAGGGGAGACUGGAAUUCCUGGUGUAGCGGUGAAAUGCGCAGAUAUCAGGAGGAACACCGGUGGCGAAGGCGGGUCUCUGGGCCGUUACUGACGCUGAGGAGCGAAAGCGUGGGGAGCGAACAGG